This 256-nucleotide ribosomal RNA is filed under the name uncultured bacterium. RNAcentral's name for it is "partial 16S ribosomal RNA". It matches the Rfam family "Bacterial small subunit ribosomal RNA", at positions 524 to 776 of the family's 1533-position model. The record is from RNAcentral.
UACGUAGGGUGCGAGCGUUGCCCGGAUUUAUUGGGCGUAAAGGGCGCGUAGGCGGCUCGGCACGUCCGUUGUGAAAUCGCCCCGGCUCAACUGGGCGGGGUCGGCGGAUACGGCCGAGCUGGAGCAAGCUAGGGGGUAAUGGAAUUCCCGGUGUAGUGGUGGAAUGCGCAGAUAUCGGGAGGAACACCAAUGGCGAAGGCAGCUCGCUGGGACGGUACUGACGCUGAGACGACGAAAGCGGUGGGGAGCAAACAGG